GACGAACGCUGGCGGCGUGCCUAAUACAUGCAAGUUGAGCGCUGAAGGUUGGUACUUGUACCGACUGGAUGAGCAGCGAACGGGUGAGUAACGCGUGGGGAAUCUGCCUUUGAGCGGGGGACAACAUUUGGAAACGAAUGCUAAUACCGCAUAAAAACUUCAAACACAAGUUUUAAGUUUGAAAGAUGCAAUUGCAUCACUCAAAGAUGAUCCCGCGUUGUAUUAGCUAGUUGGUGAGGUAAAGGCUCACCAAGGCGAUGAUACAUAGCCGACCUGAGAGGGUGAUCGGCCACAUUGGGACUGAGACACGGCCCAAACUCCUACGGGAGGCAGCAGUAGGGAAUCUUCGGCAAUGGACGAAAGUCUGACCGAGCAACGCCGCGGGAGUGAAGAAGGUUUUCGGAUCGUAAAACUCUGUUGGUAGAGAAGAACGUUGGUGAGAGUGGAAAGCUCAUCAAGUGACGGUAACUACCCAGAAAGGGACGGCUAACUACGUG
This 497-nucleotide ribosomal RNA is filed under the name uncultured bacterium. RNAcentral's name for it is "partial 16S ribosomal RNA". It matches the Rfam family "Bacterial small subunit ribosomal RNA", at positions 28 to 507 of the family's 1533-position model. The record is from RNAcentral.